This is a long non-coding RNA of Corythoichthys intestinalis (scribbled pipefish), 3864 nucleotides long. RefSeq lists it as uncharacterized. The transcript is spliced from 4 exons. Lineage: Eukaryota; Metazoa; Chordata; Actinopteri; Syngnathiformes; Syngnathidae. The record is from RefSeq and is a predicted model, not a curated record.
AUAAUUUCAGUCUAUUUCAAUAAUUUUGAAAUGAAUAAAUGCGUGAUGAUUUUGGCACAUUGAUUUUUAAUCACCCUGCACAUACAUCAUAUAUAUAUAUAAACAUAUUAUAUACAUAUUCACUAUAUAAAAUUAUGUACACAUAAUAUGCGGUCAAUAAACUAUACUGCGACAUUUUAUUCAUAAACUGUAAUACUGUCUUGCAUCUGUGAAUAAACACACAAUUUGCACUUCAGCCUCCAAGGCAUAUUUAUUUGGCAAUUGGAAACGAGGUGGGGGGUGCAACACUUUUAUUUUUUUUAAUAUUUCAAAAUACAGUUCCAAUGGACUUCUUCAAAUUUGAAAUUUUACCUUUUUCAUCAAUCAUAUGCAAACUGAUAUUGACUAUCAAACCAUACUCGGUGUAGUAGUUAAAGUUAAAGAUACAUUUUUAUAUACAUACUCAUUAACUUAAGUACUGGGGAUGGGGCAAGUUAGUAGCUCACAUGUUGUUUACUGAAUUCUCAUCUCAGAAGCGAAACAAACAUUAUUUCUUUUACACAUUUUAAACAACAAACCAACCAAAACAAUACUGCGCUCAAACCAGUGUGGUAUAAAUAAAUAUAAUAAAAAUUAUUUGUUGUUGUGUGGGACAUUUCCAACACCGUAUAUCCAGGUCUGCUCGCGUUGUCGUUGAAGAACUGGUUCCACGAUGCUAGGCUAGCUGCAAAGGCUACCCCAGGAUACAUCGGCGUGCCCGGGCAUCUGUCUCGGAGUGCCCGCGCGGCGUGCGAGAACUAUACCACCGAGCCACCAAUACUUGCAAUGGAAGACGGGCGGCACGCUGAAAUGAAUAAUCAAAGGGAACACAAAGAAACAGACGAGCAUUGGCACCCACAUCGUAUUCAUACCGUCAUUGAGUGACAAUUCAUCCCGCGCUUCCUUGGUCGAAAUCGAUAAGAAACCUGGAUUCGUCCACAAUAGCGUCCCGAGGCCUCCAUUUCACUGGGCCAAACACCGGAGGAACAGUCGACGCCCACGUCAAUUGCGUCAGAAGCUACAAUGUAGCUUAUUGGUCAAACUAACGUCACCCCCUCACGAUUUUACAAAAUAAAAGCAGGCACAUUAUGUUAAAUAGGAAAAGGGUGAUUUUACACACCAAAAAAAGGUCCACGACACAUAUUUAGAUGAUAUAUAUGUAUUUAUUCUAUUAAGAAUGUUGCCAAGCUUGAAUGAUGCUUUAUACAAGUAAAAAUAUAUCGCUUCCGCCGUAAAUACUUUUAUUUUGAAAAGGACCAGUACAGCUUCCUACUAUAAAAUGCCUCGUAUACUAUCUACUGAAAUGCCGUGCACUGUCAUUUGUGAGAUGCUCUUCUACACACAAGUGAGAUUCUGUGCAGUCUCAUUACUGAGAGCCUCUUAUACACACAAGUGAAUAACCUCUCACACAUAAGACUGAAAAAUAUCUCACAUUCCUUGGUCAAACGUUCGUAUAAAUGCAUGUGAAAACAUCUGUACAGAUACGUAUGACUUAAAAAGCUAUCAGACAUAAGUCUCGGUAAUUAUAAGUAUGGGGGUAAUUAUAAGUAUCCACAUUGAUGCAUGCCAUUGAAUUAUAAUAAAUUGAAUGGUUGAAUAAUCAAGAAAGCAAGAUAUUUUCAUUAGCACAUAUAUUUUAAGCUUGAUAAAGAUAGAUCUAAAUAAAGUUUAAGAUUUUUUUAGCAUUAUUGAAUAAAUUAUAUUGUGUGUUUUAAACGUGGCAUUAAAAAACAACAACAAUAAUAUUACAUUUUAUUUUUAGGUGUCUUUCAGGACACUCAAGAUUGCCGUACAAGGUAAAAGGUAAAAAAUAAGUUAAAAUACACACAUACAGAUAAAACCCACAACAAUGUUAAAUUAAAAAGAAUAAUGGAAUUAUGAGGAAGAAAGCCUGUCUGAAUAAAUAUGUUUCAAGAUGUUACUUGGCUGAGAUUGUAAGGAAGUCCAAAGUAUUGUGCGGCCUCAUCAACAUCAAAUUAUAAUCGAUAUAAGGGUCAGCAGGGAUGAAAUCGAACUACAUAUUCACACACAUUCAGUACUAGCCUACAUUCUAUAAUGAAUUGGAACACUGAUAAAGGUAUAGUUUAUGGUUUUUAUUUAAAACUGUAUUUUUGAUGACUGCUGUUAGUUAAAACGUCCACUAGAUGGCAUUAUAUGAUCUUGCAUUGCACUAAAACCAGGUAUAUGAGCGUUGCAUUUUGGGAAAUGAAGAUGCUAUGAACGCUAAUGGAGAAAACGCUAACGCUAGCGCGACCUCUUUCAAACCAAAGAAAAACUGACGAGUUCCAGACUGCUCUAAUCAGCGAAUUACAUCUGAGUUCUGUGUGAUACAAGUGUCUGACAGAAUUGAUGUCAAGGAGGAUUCGGCCUGAUUCAAUGAGGGAUUGAGGACCAAUUUUUUUCAACUUCAGCCAACUGUUGGAGCAUCACCCAAAGCAGAUAAGGUCGUGGAGGAAAAGACGUUAGUUUGACCAAUAAGCUACAUUGUAGCUUAUGACACAAUUGAAGUGGGCGUCAACUGUUCCUCCGGCUUUUGGCACAUUUAAAUGGAGGCCAGUAUCCGGACGAGUCCAGGUUACCUGCUGAUAUCGACAAAGAGAAGCACAGGAUAAAUUGCCACUCAGUGACGGUAUGAAUGUGGGUGCCAAUGGUCGUCUGUCUCUUUGUGUACCCUGUGAUUAAUCAUUUCAGCGUGCUGCCCGUCUUCCAUUGCAAGUAUUGGUGGCUCGGUGGUAGAGUUUUCGCACGCUGCGCGGGAACCCCGAGACUGAUGCCCGGGCACGCCGAUGCAUCUUGGGGUAGCCUUUGCAGCUAGCCUCGCAUCGGGGCAACAGUUCCGCUACGACAACGCGAGCAGACCAGGAUAUACGGUGUUGGAAAUGUCCCACACUACAACAAAUCAUUAUUUUAUCCACACUGGUUUGAGUGCAAUAUUGUUGUGGUUGGUUCGUUGUUUAAAAUGUGUAAAAGAAAUAAUGUUUGUUUUGCAUGUGGGAUGAGAAUUCAGUAAAACGGCAUGUGAGGGACUAACUUGUCCCCCCCCUCCACAGUACUUAAGUUACUGAAUAUGUAUAUAAAAAUGGAUCUUAAGCUACUAUACCGAGUGUGGUUUGAUUGUCAAUAUCAGUUUGCAUAUGACUGAUGAAAAAGGUAAAAUUUCAGAUUUGAAGAAGUCCAUUGGAACUGUUUUGAAAUAAAAAAAACCAUCCCACCUUGUUUCCAAUUGCCAAAUAUAUAUGCCUUGUAGACUGAAGUGCAAAUUGUGUUUAUUCACAGAUGCAAGACAGUGUUAAAGUAUAAGAAUAAAAUGUCGCAGUAAGGUUUAUUGACCACAUAUUAUAUGUACAUAAUAUAAUUAUAUAUAAGGAAUGUUUGUAUAUAUAAUUUAUGUUUGUACAUAUGAUGUAUGUGUGUAUGUGCAGGGUGAUUCAAAAACAAUGUGCCAAAAUCACACAUUUAUUCCUUUCAAAAUCAUUGACAUAGACUGAAAUGAUUAAUUAAAUUGUUAAUUUGAUAAGAAAGUCUCUUUAUCAAGUAAGUUAACAAAUUUAGUCAUAUCAGCUUGAUUGUCCGUGAUGCUGCUGGUGGUCACAUUGAGCACUUGUAAAGCAUGAAAUAAAAACAAAAAUAUACAAUACUUGUGUCAAUGUAGUUAUUGCCCCCCCAAUUUACCGCAAUGGUUUUGGCCCAUUCUUUUUUUCAUCACCCUGUAUAGUGUAUGUGUGUAUAUAUGUAUGUGUAUAUAUAUACAUUAUUUCUAUAUAUUUAUGCAAAUAUUUUGCGGUACUUCGUGCUGAUUGCAGCUAUGCUCUGGACCCGCGUUCCGUCGACAUUCGCUGGAAGUGA